AACUACAACGGUUGUAUUAUAAUUAACAACUCUGCGACGCGGUGAAAUGAAGCGGCGUUGAUUACAAGUUUGUCGCGUCGCGUCAGAUGGGCUUUAAUCUUCUGGGCGUCGCCUUGGCUCGACUCGGCUAGAUUCGGACCAAUCGGGAUUCCGCUCAGUACUUUGUAAACAACACAGUUGCACGCUGUAUGAAAACUUUACUACGAGAGGAUGUCGCGUGCCGAGGACCGACAGAAAAAUCUCUUAAUUCGGUGACCAUGGAUUUCAUAUAGGCUUGUGCAUACAUUCAAUUCCUGGGAUCGGGUCUGUGCAGCUGCCGGCUGCAGCUGAGCUCCAGUUGAGCUCUGUGCAGGAGCCACAGUUUCUAAAACCCCUCUCCACCCCGGCUACACGUUCUCCUGGAACGCUUUAGUGCGUCUUUCCUUGCGGUCAGUUCUCCCUGCGGUUCAGACAUGCCACCCAAUCUCCCGCUUAUUGGACCCAUCUGUCUCAUUAGAUUGUGUGUCAUUGCUGGUACUGUUUUAAAUGUCAGAUUUGGAGGCCAGCCUGUAUCACUUCCUCUUCCAUUAAAUGCACUAGAGAAAACGCCAGGUUCUUCAUAGGCUGGCAUGAUUUCCCGACAGGGUUUAAGGCGGUAUAUGGCAUAUUUUGAGAUCCAGCUGAAUUUUUUCCAAGUGAUUUACCCUGGUAAUAAACUCCGAUAUUAUCGCACCAUCCUGUAUAAAUGAGUUUUUUUUGCCACCAUGUUGAACCAUAUCUGAGUUGAAGGACGUCCACCUGCAGUGGCCAUCGCAAGACCCCAAGUAUGCAUAACGUACAAUGUAAUUAGCAACACUCAUUAGUGUGCAAAGCAAACUGAUAAUUUUUUUAAGAGUUUGGCACAAAUGUGUUCCAACUUCUUUUGAUUUUUAGGAUUGGUUAAAACAUAAUAGCCAUUUUAUUAUGACAGUUACUGUAUCUUGUGUUUCAAAUAAGUGAAUAUUUUAUAGUUCUUGUCUUAGUGAUAGGAUUUUUCUUUUGAUGAGUAUCAUAUUCAUUAAUUAUUCGAUUUUACUCUAAAAUGGCAUCUCAUUUUAGUUGACGAAAAUACUGAUCUAGUUCCAAAGAAAGUGAAAACAUUUUAUAUAUAAAUUUAAACGUGUAUCAACAUUUUACAAAAACAACAUGUGAAAACUGUCCUUGUCCAUCAUUAUCUAAGUUAUUAUGUAAAUAAUUUCAUACAGGAUGCACUUCUGUUUACUGGUGUUCAUUCACUCAUCAACUGUAGUUCACAGAUGAUUGAUUAUGAUUGUGUUAUACAGUGGGUACGGAAAGUAUUCAGACCCCCUUCAAUUUUUCACUCUU
Onychostoma macrolepis is the source of this 1344-nucleotide long non-coding RNA. RefSeq lists it as uncharacterized. NCBI's taxonomy places the organism in Eukaryota, Metazoa, Chordata, Actinopteri, Cypriniformes, Cyprinidae. The transcript is spliced from 3 exons. The record is from RefSeq and is a predicted model, not a curated record.